RNAcentral lists this long non-coding RNA (876 nucleotides) under Homarus americanus (American lobster). RNAcentral's name for it is "uncharacterized LOC121873757". The record is from RNAcentral. Lineage: Eukaryota; Metazoa; Arthropoda; Malacostraca; Decapoda; Nephropidae.
GUCAACAUAUUUUCGGAUUUAUUCCAGAUGAUGAUUGAUCCUCCACUGGCAAUUUCAUUUGGACACUGUAAGGAGGAUAAGAAGAAGUGUGGGAUAUUGUACAGAGGAUUACAAAAUAGUUUGGUGGUCUGAAGAUUAGAGAAAAGGGCAGUGUCCAAAGGAAAGGCUGCAGUGGAACACAAACUUGCCGAUUUGAAGAAGAUGGAGCAGAACUGCAUCACCUUAGUGUCGGUGGUGGGCACUCUUGGCGGCCUCAUGAUACUAGCAAUCCUCGCUACCCUCUGCUUCUCUGUCAGCAAGAGACACUCAGGAAUCAAAAAGACUCCCGUUAGCAGAGAUAACAGGAAGAAGUAAAGUUGGACGGACAAACAAGCCUCAGGAACUAACUCGUUCGUAAGUAGAGGAGCAUCUAUAUACAGGUGGGUGAUGAUUUAUUCUUGUCAAAAAAUUAUCAAUGAAGGAACUGUUUUCUCCAUGUAUAAACUUUGAUUGAUCAAACUUUCAGUAAGUUGUUAGCAGGGAUGGCAUAAGGAUGCUAUUGGAAAAAAAUAUUUUCUGCUUGUUGGUUAUCCUUGGUCAUAUUGACUAAAUGUCAGUUAUGGAUAAAUAAUAAAUUAGAUGCUUUUUCAGCAGAUGCAGCUCACCAACUUACAAUAGGCUAACUUAACUUACAACGUGCUUUCAGUAGUCUAUGUUGAACCAUAUGACAGUCAUCUGAGUAAAAACUCGCACAAUAUUCAUUGACUGUCCUAUGUGUUAGACUUUACCGCCAUUGGUGAAUAGAAUUUUAGUUUUACAUUUGUAAAUAUUAUUUAAAACAUAUAUGAACAGCAAAUAAGUGUUGCUUUCAUAUUCAUAUGUAGAGAAAUGACAUAU